AUAUAUGGCCGACGUGGGUCGAAGUGUAGUAUCUGUUCUUAUCAGCUUAAUAUCUGGUACGGGUUGUAUUUUGACCCAAGAUGUUAAGCUUAUUUUUGCUAGUUGUCGGAGUGCUUGAAGCCUGCUUCACCUCAGCCGCGGGUUGGCCCGGUAUUGCACUACCUUCGAGAUCGGCCCACGUUUU
Molecule: small nuclear RNA, 184 nt
Organism: Dermacentor silvarum
Lineage: Eukaryota; Metazoa; Arthropoda; Arachnida; Ixodida; Ixodidae
Product: U2 spliceosomal RNA
Exons: 1
Source: RefSeq, a predicted model, not a curated record